GCCAUUACCACUCGCAAAUGCCUUUUACAUUUCACGAAUGCAGUUUGCCUGAGUGCUAUCAAGGGUGUGACAUUUUUUGGAGUUGGCAAAAUAAAUUUAGAAUUAUUCCAAAUUGCCCAAGUCACUCAAUGGCUUUUGAAGGCUACAAGGAGGUGACAAUUGGUGCAGGUGUAAGGUUUAUGAGAGCAGAGUUCUAGUGUUAUUCUAUGAAGGGCGAAGAUGGGUUUGUGUAUAUGAGCUGGGGAAAUUUGUGCUCUAAACAAAGGAGAAGGGAGCAAGCUAAGGAACAUGGGAGUUACAUUAAUGAGUAGGGCAGUAGUUGGGUCUUGAAGAAGUUGGG
This 340-nucleotide unclassified non-coding RNA is filed under the name Hevea brasiliensis (rubber tree). The record is from RNAcentral. Lineage: Eukaryota; Viridiplantae; Streptophyta; Magnoliopsida; Malpighiales; Euphorbiaceae.